This 690-nucleotide small RNA is filed under the name Vigna angularis var. angularis. RNAcentral's name for it is "Non-protein coding transcript". The record is from RNAcentral. Lineage: Eukaryota; Viridiplantae; Streptophyta; Magnoliopsida; Fabales; Fabaceae.
GUGGAACUUCCAAAGCUCCCGGUUACUAGCUUUAUAUGUCACACACUGACAAAAAUAAAUCAUUAUUAUUGGAAUGGCUUCAGUGUUUGAUGCACUAGUACAUUAGAUCUCUUGUAUUUGCCACCUUUAUCCAUCUCAAUAAUCAUCUUUGAAGUUUGUUCGGAGGAACAAAAUUAGCAGGGAGGGGAGGCUGCAUGGUACAAACCUAAGCAAGAACUUGAUACUUACAGAUGACCUACUAAUGGAAGACCAUGAGCAGGGACCGAAUCUAAGCCCCUUUGUCUGCGUUGUUCAAUCCAGCAUGUUAAGCAACCCUCAUUGCGCACUUGAUUGAAAGGUCUUGUACAUCAAGGAAGCUCUGCCACAAUUCGUUAGUUAUCUAGCUUCUGGUUUCGUAGCUUCUAUGUAGGCCAAUAGUACUUUAAGCACUUUAAUUAUUACUCGCACUCUUCUCAUAUCUGCUAUAAUCAUGCAAAUCACAAUGCAUAUUUUUUGUAUAGAUAAUUCUGCAAAUUGGAAUUUCUUUGAUGCUCUGUGGCUUAACAAUUUGUUCUGCAAUAGUAAUAUAUGCACAAUCUAGUUCUAAACAUCAGAAAAUCUUGAAAACCGGUUGUUCAGUUCGACAAAAAUGGCAAUUUCUAGUAGAACUGACAGAACCAGUUGUUGAAUUCGAGACAUUCAGUUGAAGUA